CAAUAUCAUCCUUGGGCAUAGUUUAAGAAUGCAGGCCAAAUCCUCCUUUUAUGUUCUCAUCCUCCUCAAAAGGUUUGAAAACAAACGCUAAUUUUGAGAAUCCAUAUGUUUCGUUCCGUUUUCAAAUCGUUUCUAAAUCUUCCUAAAUCUAUCUCCAUAUUAACACCUUCUGUUUAUCGCCCAAUUUCGAUCUCCAUUUCUAGCUCAUACUCAACUCCAAGAAUUAGCAAGAGAAUUGGGUCAUUGUUUUCUGUACCCGUUGGUGAGCAAUUUCAAG
Molecule: unclassified non-coding RNA, 277 nt
Filed under: Hevea brasiliensis (rubber tree)
Lineage: Eukaryota; Viridiplantae; Streptophyta; Magnoliopsida; Malpighiales; Euphorbiaceae
Source: RNAcentral